This 511-nucleotide long non-coding RNA is filed under the name Equus caballus (horse). RNAcentral's name for it is "lncRNA (ENSECAG00000054599.1)". Lineage: Eukaryota; Metazoa; Chordata; Mammalia; Perissodactyla; Equidae. The record is from RNAcentral.
CCAAGCCAGAAUUCCAGAUGGGGAAACAUUCAAGUGAAACUCAGAAUAUGGAGCCAGGGGAUGAAAAAUUUUCAGCAUUUUUUUCCCCAAAGGAGUAAAAUCUUGGCUCAGGUUUUCUAAGAUGGACUUUCACCUUAGAUUUGGCAAAAGGGAUUCUGGAGGUUCCAGGUUUGUAUCUCACUAACUAAAUACUCUGAAGAAAGUGAACUCCAUUUUCUUGAUCAUUUCAGCACAAAUCUUUGGACUGAUUAGGUUUGCAUGUCCAUUAUCCACACAAGCACUCUUAUUAAAGAAGGGACUGUGUGGAUUUUUGUAGCUAGCAAAAGAAAUUUCUUUUUUCUCAAAGCAAAAUCAGGCUGUGAUUACUACGGAAGAAUGAGUGCUGGAAGACAAAAUCAACAAAGGUAGAUUAGUCAUAUCCUCCUGAAUUUCUGGAGAACAUACAUUAUUUCUUAUUCUUCUAUGAAUCCUGCACCUACGCUGAGUGGUUAGCAAAGGGUAAUAGUCUUAC